UAAGUGUAAAAAAGACUUCUAAUCUUUAAAUGGUGUAAACCACACUUGAUU
RNAcentral lists this transfer RNA (51 nucleotides) under Pallaseopsis kessleri. Its description in RNAcentral is "tRNA-Ser". The record is from RNAcentral. Lineage: Eukaryota; Metazoa; Arthropoda; Malacostraca; Amphipoda; Pallaseidae.